GCCCGCCUAGCUCAAUCGGAUAGAGCGUCAGACUCUUAUUCUAUUCCUAGGCGGAAUCUGAAGGCUGCGAGUUCGACCCUCGCGGUGGGCU
RNAcentral lists this transfer RNA (91 nucleotides) under Coprinellus micaceus. It matches the Rfam family "tRNA". From Rfam's summary of the family: Transfer RNA (tRNA) molecules are approximately 80 nucleotides in length. Their secondary structure includes four short double-helical elements and three loops (D, anti-codon, and T loops). The record is from Rfam by way of RNAcentral. Lineage: Eukaryota; Fungi; Basidiomycota; Agaricomycetes; Agaricales; Psathyrellaceae.